ACUCCUACGGGAGGCAGCAGUGGGGAAUAUUGCACAAUGGGCGCAAGCCUGAUGCAGCCAUGCCGCGUGUGUGAAGAAGGCCUUCGGGUUGUAAAGCACUUUCAGUUGUGAGGAAGGUGGUGUCGUUUAAAUAGGCCGGCAUCCAUUUGACGUUAGCAACAGAAGAAGCACCGGCUAACUCCGUGCCAGCAGCCGCGGUAAUACGGAGGGUGCGAGCGUUAAUCGGAAUUACUGGGCGUAAAGCGCAUGCAGGUGGUUUGUUAAGUCAGAUGUGAAAGCCCGGGGCUCAACCUCGGAACUGCAUUUGAAACUGGCAGACUAGAGUACUGU
RNAcentral lists this ribosomal RNA (330 nucleotides) under uncultured bacterium. RNAcentral's name for it is "bacterial SSU rRNA". It matches the Rfam family "Bacterial small subunit ribosomal RNA", at positions 335 to 652 of the family's 1533-position model. The record is from RNAcentral.